This 253-nucleotide ribosomal RNA is filed under the name uncultured bacterium. RNAcentral's name for it is "partial 16S ribosomal RNA". It matches the Rfam family "Bacterial small subunit ribosomal RNA", at positions 524 to 776 of the family's 1533-position model. The record is from RNAcentral.
UACGGGGGGGGUAAGCGUUGUUCGGAAUUACUGGGCGUGAAGGGCUCGUAGGCGGCCAACUAAGUCGGACGUGAAAUCCCUCAGCUUAACUGGGGAACUGCGUCCGAUACUGGAUGGCUUGGAUUUGGGAGAGGGAUGCGGAAUUCCAGGUGUAGCGGUGAAAUGCGUAGAUAUCGGGAGGAACACCGGUGGCGAAGGCGGCAUCCUGGACCGGUAUUGACGCUGAGGCGCGAAAGCCAGGGGAGCAAACGGG